GCCGGGCAUGGUGGCGUGCGCCUGUAGUCUCAGCUACUUGGAGGCUGAGGCAGGAGAAUCGCUUGAACCCGGGAGACGGAGGUUGCAGUGAGCCAAGAUUGUGCCACUGCCCUCCAGCCUGGGCAACAAAGUGAGACUCUGUCUCAA
Molecule: small RNA, 147 nt
Filed under: Pongo abelii (Sumatran orangutan)
Lineage: Eukaryota; Metazoa; Chordata; Mammalia; Primates; Hominidae
Description: Metazoan signal recognition particle RNA (ENSPPYG00000030904.1)
Source: Rfam by way of RNAcentral